GAAGAGCCUCAUUAAAGCUGCAUUCAAGGUGGGAGCCCACCUACUAUUCAACGGAAGUGGCUCUGCUACCAGCUUCCAUAAUUGAAUUCUAAUGAAAUAACACAAAAUGUAGCUAAAAUCCUUUAGAUGAUCCCACUCAUAUCCAUAGCCCAUUAAAAGAGGCAAUGAGUCACAGGCUAAGGGUUCUGAAGAGUGCCUUUCUUCACAUAUGACAAAACAAUGGAGGCCCAGUGAGGUAAAACGGUUUGUGCAGAAUUAGAGCUGACUGGCAUCCAUCUCCUGAGGCUCAGGGUUGCCCUUCACAGAGGAAGCAGCGGACAAGUUGAAAACUGGAAAGGUGGCUUCAAGCUAAGCGCAAACAAUACAGUGUUCAAUGUGAUGGUGCCCGUGGAAAGCUGGCCACAGUGGCUGGGAUGCCCUCACAGAAUGUGCAUGCAGGGAAGUUCUCGUCUCAACAACACAUGGCCGUAAUUUUGUUUAUACACAUUGUACUGUUGCAGUGUAAGAAUUUUUGAAAUCACAAGUAUAAUUGCAAAAGACAGAGUUAUUUCUAUGAAAAAUGGAUUGGAUGAUUUGGCAAAACCCGGUAGAGGCAAAUGUCUAAGAGUAUUUAUUUAAGUACAUGUGUUCUCAUGCCAUAAACGACUGGGGGAAAAAAACUCAUGAAAAUCAAGAAGGAUGCUGCACUCAGCUUGCUUAUGUUCUUCAAGUUCUGCUCCACUUAAAAACACCAAAAUUAGAAAUCAUAGAUCGUGGGUGUGAUUUCUGCAGGAACUCAGAUCAGUUCAACCCUAAUCAAAGAACACAGGGUGGAGCUAUCUCAAAGUACUGAUGAAUGAGCAUUUAUAUAUUUAAUAUAAAAUAAAAUGUUCAAGGCAUGUGUGUAUCAUUUUUAAUAAUUGUCCUGUUUUACUCUCUAUUUUUGUGAAUUUAUCUUUUCAAUUAACCAGUUGCUCCUGAUCCCAAUUGACUAACGAAGACAUUCUAUUGAAGGUGAUUUUUCAUUUUACCUUUUAUGUGUUAGUAUUUUACAGUAUGUCUUUUACCAUAUGUCCUUUAUUUGGUAAGUUCCGGUUUUUAUUUUACACUGUUUUAUAAUAAAUGCGUUGUGCACUUCUGUCACCUUUUUUUCCCUGGUGGACUCUAGACACAAGGGUGAUUGCCUAAUUAUACUGUGCUGCUUAUAAGAAGCAGAUUAGUUAAGUGGCUUCUUAGAUGAACAGUGCAAAGUGCCACAUGAAAGCUGGAGGAAAAAUAUCCCCAAGAACAAAAGAGCUUUAAAAUGUUGUUUUAUUUUUUAAAAUUCCGGUGUCUGAGAAAACAUCAUUUCUUCAAAAUUAAGUGACUCUAUUUUCUAAGAACUCUUAAGUAGGAGCGAAGAUGAGAACUGAAUAAAUGUGAUGUGCUUCUCUCUUGGCCUCUAGGUAAUAAAUUCUGCACUAUACAGAUUACACUAGACGUGAAUCUGUUUCUUGUUUUAUGCUGAGAGCAAGAUCACUAAGACAUACUUUACCUUCCUUAACAGAAUCUAUCUUUCUCAAUGAUGGUGAUAAAGCAGAUUUUUCUACAUUGGUAGAAAACUCAUUCUAAUCGAAGUUGAAUAGUUCCAAGCUGUUAGAAUUUUCUAAGCAAAAGAAUAGCAAGAUGCUCCAAGGAUACAACAAAUGAAAUUCAACGGUUAUUUACAAAUUCAGCUGUUCACCGAAAACGAAAAGCUUCUUAAAAAAUUAGGGUGGUUGAGUCUGAAGUAUGGUUUGGAGAAGUGAUUUUUUUAAAUAGGGUAUUUAUAAAAAUAUACUUGAGAAACCAAUCCAGGGGAGUCAAAAUGGAUGCAACCAAACCUUAAGAAUAUAAAGCAGUGCAAACAAUCCAAAAGCAGUGCUUCUUAGGAUUAAGCCAUGUGCACAUUUAAAGGUUAGGAGAAUUUCAGCGUGUGGCUUGGCUGGACCUUUUCUGUUUCCAUUACGAUCAUACUAUUGUCAGAAAUCCCAGCUAGCAAGCAGGCAAGAGAUCAUGAGGAAAAUCAAACAGGAGUAGAACCACUGGGGCUGCCUGAAUUUCUACCUGCACCUUUCCCGAUUUAGGCAAGGAGACUUGGCUGGACAGCGGGAGGUGGAGAGGGAAAGGGAUGGUGACAGAAGGAAGGAGGAGGCCCCGGAAGCGAGGUCUCAGGAUAGCAUAGGCUCCCUGUUUCUUUUCCUUUCUUUGCUUCCUACAAGCAUUAACCUUGAGCCUAAAAGCACAAUAUGAGGAAAUAAGCAAACAAGAUGAGGGGCAGCACCAAAGAAAUGCUCUAGGCCCUAGGAAGGUUAGAUUUUUGAGAACACAUCAACUUGGGUAACACAAAAUAUGAGUAAAAACAAAUAUGAGAGAAAAACAUAUAUGUAAACUGAACACAAAAAUUGAAUUGAACCAUUAAAAGUUCGCUGAUCUUAUCCCUAAACAAACUUCUGGGAUAUGUGUAUUUCAUCAUUCGUGUGUUUGAAAUUAAAUUUUAUUUAACUGGUAUUUUUAAGCUAACUGUUCUACCACCAAAAUCAGUUUUAAAAUACACUUCUAGUUUCUGCUACAUUCUCAUAUAAUUUAAAAUCAGCCGUGUGAAGAAAAUACAAACCUUAGAUUCAAAGCCUAGAAUCAACUAUAUACCUAAAAUAUACCAGAACUGAUUGUUUUAUAAAUGAGCAACAGUGAGCAUUCUUCUCUUUAGAACCUGGCUCAUAACUCAUCUCUCCCACCAACCUUCUUGUUGCUUCCUCAAAUCUUCCCUUCUCUCCAGCUGAAAACUACAGCAUCAUCAUACAUAUCUGCCUUCUUCUCAUGUUAAAUGUAAUCUAUGCCUCGAGAAUCUCACCUAAUACCUGCUGGACAUUUCUAAACAAAUGUCCAUAUGUACCCCCCUCAGCAAAUUAUUCAACAGCUGAAAAGUGUCUUUCUCCAGAUUUGACAGUCUUGUUGUAUUCCCUAAAGAAGUUAAUGCCAACCUCAUCCUCUCAGUUGCUCAAGAGCAAAACUUCUACAUAAUCUUCUAUAACCCUUUCUCCCUGGCCCCUCAUCUCUAAUCAGUUACCAAAGUGUGCCCAAUCUAUCUCCGUACGGACUAUAAUUUACAACCCCAUCAGAUUUUAAGCUCUAUCAUAGUAAGAAUAUUAGAUUUGUUUGAAAUACUGUACCCAUUACCCAGUACCAUAUCUGGCACAAGAAGAUACACAGUGCAUAUUUGUUGACUAAAGUUAUAUAUUACUAUAUCUAAAGGCAAUUAUUUUAGUUGUUAGCCUUUAUAUUUCACAUAAUCACACAUGAGAGGAUUUUCAGGGAUCUUUUGCCCAUCACAGAACACUGAUCUAAAUUUGCUUAUAUUCCCUGUUUUCCUGACGCCCCAAAGUCCUUACCAAUAUGCACACAGACACACACACACACACAUACACACACACACACACACACACACACGUUUAACCUUAACAACAUUUCAAAUUGAUAAUCACUAUAUAGAAAUUAUUUUUAAAAGAAAAAGGCUAUUAGGCUAUUAUCUUUUUUUCAUCUUCUAGGCUUUCCUCAAAAUAAAGUGGAAAAUUGGCAAGCAAUGAGUCAAUUUGAUAAAAUGUAAACAGUCAAAUGAAAUAGAUCAGGCCAAAUGCUUUAUUGAAAUAUUUAGUUUCAUCCAUCUACUUAAUUGACAAAAUUGGCCAUAUUGUUAAAAGUUUAAUUUAUCUCAGCCUUGCUGAUAUAUCUAUAAUCAAAAGCAGCAUUUUGGAAUGGAAUAGUUCCUUAUACAUAUUUAUAUGGAGUUGACUUUUUAAAAAGAGUUUUCAACAAAAUUUCACAUAAUGUAGCUGAUGUAUAAUGACUAAGAAAAAUAGGAAAACACAAUUCAAUUGACAGUUAUGAAUUUCCUACUUUGCAGACAAUAAAACCUGCUAAGAGUAUGUUGGAAACACCAAAUAAAACAUGGGCUCCUCAGCUAUUGGGGGCAUGGAUUUGAAAGCUUCUGAUAGCAGAAAUUUCUUGCUGAUUGUUUUCUGCUAUCAACAACAUCCUCAGA
RNAcentral lists this long non-coding RNA (4039 nucleotides) under Homo sapiens (human). RNAcentral's name for it is "HSALNT0374833". The record is from RNAcentral. Lineage: Eukaryota; Metazoa; Chordata; Mammalia; Primates; Hominidae.